AGCGUAGGUGGACUUUUAAGUGAGAUGUGAAAUACCCGGGCUCAACUUGGGUGCUGCAUUUCAAACUGGAAGUCUAGAGUGCAGGAGAGGAGAGUGGAAUUCCUAGUGUAGCGGUGAAAUGCGUAGAUAUUAGGAGGAACACCAGUAGCGAAGGCGGCUCUCUGGACUGUAACUGACGCUGAGGCACGAAAGCGUGGGGAGCAAACAGGAUUAGAUACCCCAGUA
Molecule: ribosomal RNA, 225 nt
Filed under: uncultured Clostridium sp.
Lineage: Bacteria; Bacillati; Bacillota; Clostridia; Eubacteriales; Clostridiaceae
Description: partial 16S ribosomal RNA
Rfam family: Bacterial small subunit ribosomal RNA
Source: RNAcentral